This 465-nucleotide ribosomal RNA is filed under the name Vreelandella stevensii. Its description in RNAcentral is "partial 16S ribosomal RNA". It matches the Rfam family "Bacterial small subunit ribosomal RNA", at positions 338 to 795 of the family's 1533-position model. Lineage: Bacteria; Pseudomonadati; Pseudomonadota; Gammaproteobacteria; Oceanospirillales; Halomonadaceae. The record is from RNAcentral.
CCUACGGGUGGCAGCAGUGGGGAAUAUUGGACAAUGGGCGAAAGCCUGAUCCAGCCAUGCCGCGUGUGUGAAGAAGGCCUUCGGGUUGUAAAGCACUUUCAGUGGGGAAGAAAGCCUUGGGGCUAAUACCCUCGAGGAAGGACAUCACCCACAGAAGAAGCACCGGCUAACUCCGUGCCAGCAGCCGCGGUAAUACGGAGGGUGCGAGCGUUAAUCGGAAUGACUGGGCGUAAAGCGCGCGUAGGCGGUCUGAUAAGCCGGUUGUGAAAGCCCCGGGCUCAACCUGGGAACGGCAUCCGGAACUGUCAGGCUAGAGUGCAGGAGAGGAAGGUAGAAUUCCCGGUGUAGCGGUGAAAUGCGUAGAGAUCGGGAGGAAUACCAGUGGCGAAGGCGGCCUUCUGGACUGACACUGACGCUGAGGUGCGAAAGCGUGGGUAGCAAACAGGAUUAGAUACCCUAGUAGUC